UGUUUGUGUUGAUCGUGAUUGUUAGGUUACGUUGUUGAUCGUAAAUUUGGAAUUGUUUGAAUGAUGGUGUUGAUGAUGAUGUGACACACUAACAGAGGAAGGCAGAUUCGGUGGUUCCGGUUCUGUUUUCUUCUUUCUCCUUAGUCGAAAGAAUUGCUGCAAAAUUCAGCACCGCCGCCAGCACCCUUCUUCUUACCGACAUUGUGUCUUUUGCUUGCAAUUGGGUUGCUCCAAGUUCGAUUCAUCAGUAUGGCUUGAUAAGAAUUGGGCUUUGGUUUGUUUAAAUUCAUAUAUUCAAGCUCUAUUACAAUAAAUAAGUGGAUUCUUGCUGAUCGCAACCAGCAUGUUUGGCAUCUAGCCAUCUAAGUGUGUUAUGCUGUGAGAUGGUUGAAGCAGCUGCAUCAAGACCAGGAAUCACGGGCCCUUGGAUCACUAAAUCAUAUCUUGAAAUGAUUCUGUCAUUGCAGCCAAUGUUAUUACCGAUCGAGAUUCCAUAAGGUUUUGAGGAUUUGGUUUUAUUAGUUUUACAUCAACUGACGCAGCUGAUAGCGCUCUCUGUUUCCCUGCAUAAAAACCUAAAUCAAAGAGACGAACUCUCAUCCAGAUCUGGAUCAAGAUGUAGAAGGCGAGCUGUGGUUGUUUUCUUCGAUAUCGUUGAAGAACAUAUACACUGAUCUUCAGGAUGUCGGGGUUUGCUUCUUCAAAGAUGAUAUACGCUGUUUAAGAAUUUGGAUGACCUGGAGGAAGAGGACUCUAUAGAAUUGAUAAGCUGCUGGCUACCAAUCUUUAAUGGGAACACAUCGUCAUGGAGUCAUGGCCAGUGGAGACCAAUCCUCACUCACAAAAGAACUCUUUCUUAGGUGUUGGGCAAUCAAAUGAAGUUCAAUGGGCAUUUAUUGUUAGUGAUUUAGUGAUACUACCAUAAUACAAAUUACAUCAUUUGAUGACCCAAAGAAAAAGAAGAAUAAAAGGUGUUCAUUCAAGACCCUGUUCAAAAGUUGUUAGUUUACCCUAACAUCUCAUUUUAAGACCUCAAGAUCACCACUAGGUAGGGUAUGGAGGGAUGUUGUAGCUCGAGCAAUGCAGGGUUGUCAUGCUCAACAUUUCUUAGAUUUUUGUGAGGCUUUACACAAAAUGGGUCGAUUCGUAUAAUGUGUUAUCUAGAAAAUGGGUGGUAAAACGUAAAGUAGGUAGUUGAACGGGUCUGGUUGGUUGCGUAAUGGAUUAAAUGAAUAACUUUUAGUACGGAUACAAAUGGGUCGAGUUGGGUGACCUGUCGAGAAUAUGUGUUCAUUUUUAUUGUUUUUUAAAUAAAUGAUGAAUAGAUAAGAUUGUAAAAGUAUAUUGAUUGCUUCCUCCUUCACGCCGCUUUCUUCUUUCGUCUUCCUUCUGUUUGAUUUGAAGUGAACCAAAUAAUUAGGGUUUCCACUUCUUGCGUUUGCGAUUGAAAAGUUACAAUUGUUGAUUUCGGAUAUUGAUUUAUAGCUUCAAACGAAACCUAAACAGCUUAAAGCUCCGAUGUUGACUUAAGGUGAACUUUUAUUUCUUUCGAUCAAAAAAGUUGGGAACAUAUAUACUGAUUAUCUUCUUCAAGAGAUUACGGGUAUUGUUUUCUUCAUUCCAUUGCUAGGAUUAGUAGAUUCAGUUUCGUUAGGUAAAAAUGAUGUGUUUGCUCGAAAUUUUUUGUUGUUUUGUGCAGUAGAAUGAAGGUCGAAAUUUUUUAUGAGGUUUUGUUUCGGAUUCGCAACUGCAUGCUCGAUUUUAGGAAAAAUAGGGUUUGAUUAAAUUUGUUAUUACACUUGCGGAGUAGAGGUCUGUUACAAACUGUAGAAACAAACAAGAACCGUCCAAACCAAAGAAAGGCAGCUGGUUUUGCCAAUUUAAAAUAUGUAUGGUUUUGUUUACGUAGCUAAUGGGUUUGGAACUUUGGAACUGGCUAAUCCAUUGUAUGAACUUUUUCUUCCAUGUAUAGGAUUCCUUUAGGAAAACAGAGAAUCUGACAUUGUUCUUUUACAUUUGGAUGGCAAAUGUCCUAUUUUUUAGCUUAAAAUGUUAUAAUAUGAUGAUCUUUAAGGAAUGGUAUAGCUCUUUCAAGUGAGUGUGCUAUCAAAACAAGCUGAAAUAAUCCGGAUUCCUUUUCCAUGAGGAAUCCUGAGGAAAUCCCAUGGGUGAAGCUUAAUCCGAAUAUGUUUUUCAUAGAUAAGGACAAAGUUGUACACAUUUGAAGGUGCAAAGAAGGUAAUUUUCGGUAGCUUCAUUUGGUUCGUUUCAUUGAUGAGGCACCUCAAUUGCAGGAGGCAGCAUGAUGAUUUCACUUUGUUGUGUGUUUUGUUACCAUUGAGUACUAAAUGGAAUACAUUUGGAUAGAGUUUUGAAUGUCAACAGUUCACUUAAAAGUAUUCUAUAUUCU
RNAcentral lists this long non-coding RNA (2410 nucleotides) under Helianthus annuus (common sunflower). Its description in RNAcentral is "sRNA HanXRQr2_Chr09g0372291". Lineage: Eukaryota; Viridiplantae; Streptophyta; Magnoliopsida; Asterales; Asteraceae. The record is from RNAcentral.